Molecule: non-coding RNA, 1112 nt
Organism: Tetranychus urticae (two-spotted spider mite)
Lineage: Eukaryota; Metazoa; Arthropoda; Arachnida; Trombidiformes; Tetranychidae
Source: RefSeq, a predicted model, not a curated record
UUUGAGUGUAGGAUGCAAUGAGUCUUUGAAUCGAUGUUUUUUCAAUACAUAUUGUAUUACCCUGAAGCUGGAAUGUGAAUUAAUCCAAUGGAAAUAAUUCAAGUUUAAUUAAAAAACGAAACGAUUUAGUUUUUAAAUUAAUUUUGAUUGAAUGGAAAAUGUCUAUUCAAAUGAUCCGCCAUUGUGUUCAAUGGCUGAGUUUGAAUAUUGACCGUUAAGUUAACGCGCCAACUCUAUGUUAUUAUAAUUAUAAACUUUUAAUUAUUUUAGCUGUGAUUUAAUAGUCAAUGAAUUUUUACCUUUUUAUCCUUAAUAGAUUAUCGUUCAUCAAUUUAAUUCAAGUGAAUCCCAAGAAUCUUAGUUUUCUGAUCAUUAAAGGAUUUCAGUUUAUUACAAGUAAUGUUGUAUUUUUGUAACAUUUGGAAUAUUCAAGCGACCGGUUCUUUUUCCUGACCUUAAAGGACAAUAUGGAUUGACAGUGAUUAUUAUAAUGAUUUAUUGAAAGUGGCUUUUAAAUCGAGAGGUUCAGGACAAUCGAGGCCUUUAAUGAGAAACAAAUAUCCCUUACAAGAUUAGAAGACUGAACUUGAAGAAUGGAGACUGAAGAUGUUUAAUUAAAACACUUAAUGAACAAAAAAGGACGAGUUUAUGGAUUGGAUCUCACCAGUGAACAAAAAAUUUCAAUUUACUAGCUAUGGGAAAACCGACCUUGGUUUUAUUGAAUUUACGAUUUGAAUCGAGCCUUCUUUCAAUUAAUAAAAAAGGAAGCAAAUAUUGGCAAUGAUGAUGCUGAUAGUAAUGAUGGCUGUGAUUAAAAUUAGUUGCUCUUCAAUGUUUAACCAGUCUGCUAAUCGCCAAAUGCGCCUUCUCCUUGAUUUUUUUAUACUGUACUUCCAUCGAGUAAGGAAAGUCCCAAAUAUAACAUUGAUGAAAAGUCUAGUCAAGGGUUGGCCGUGUAAAUAUGGUUUCCAUGAGGCCAGAGAAUAUGAACAGAAGAUUUCAUUGGAUAUGGAAAUGGCAAAAAUGCAAUGAAAGUAACCAAGGACUGAUGCACUUACAGUUUUAAUUAAUCGACUCGCCGUUACGGCAAUCAAGCAAUGAAGUUAUUAGCU